AGUGAACGCUGGCGGUAGGCCUAACACAUGCAAGUCGAACGGCAGCACAGUAAGAGCUUGCUCUUACGGGUGGCGAGUGGCGGACGGGUGAGGAAUACAUCGGAAUCUACUUUUUCGUGGGGGAUAACGUAGGGAAACUUACGCUAAUACCGCAUACGACCUACGGGUGAAAGCAGGGGAUCUUCGGACCUUGCGCGAUUGAAUGAGCCGAUGUCGGAUUAGCUAGUUGGCGGGGUAAAGGCCCACCAAGGCGACGAUCCGUAGCUGGUCUGAGAGGAUGAUCACCCACACUGGAACUGAGACACGGUCCAGACUCCUACGGGAGGCAGCAGUGGGGAAUAUUGGACAAUGGGCGCAAGCCUGAUCCAGCCACACCGCGUGGGUGAAGAAGGCCUUCGGGUUGUAAAGCCCUUUUGUUGGGAAAGAAAAGCAGCAGGUUAAUACCCCGCUGUUCUGACGGUACCCAAAGAAUAAGCACCGGCUAACUUCGUG
This 492-nucleotide ribosomal RNA is filed under the name uncultured bacterium. RNAcentral describes it as "partial 16S ribosomal RNA". It matches the Rfam family "Bacterial small subunit ribosomal RNA", at positions 29 to 507 of the family's 1533-position model. The record is from RNAcentral.